This is a long non-coding RNA of Triticum aestivum (bread wheat), 5361 nucleotides long. RefSeq lists it as uncharacterized. The transcript has 9 exons. Lineage: Eukaryota; Viridiplantae; Streptophyta; Magnoliopsida; Poales; Poaceae. The record is from RefSeq and is a predicted model, not a curated record.
CGCUCGCACUCGCCCCGCCCACCUCCUCCUGUUCCUCCCGCCUCGCCUCACUCUCCCUCCAAACCCCGCCUCCCUGUACACGCCGCCAUCAUCUCCUUCGUCCGGCCGGCGACCCAUGCCGCGCCCGUCUGCUCCGCCCGCGCUCGCGCCGCCCCCUCUCCUGUUCCUCCUGCCUCAUCUCUCUCUCUCUCCCUCCUAACCCUAACCCAUGCCCACUUUCCUGUGCCGCCACCGGCCAUGCUGCUCUGGGUCGCGCGCCGCCGCGUUGCUCCGCUCCACGACGCUCCCCCGAGCCUCCUCCCUGUCCUCCAGGCCCACUCUCCCGCACAGCUCGCCCGCUCCUUCCUCCCAGUGACCACGGCGGCGCAUCAGCGGCCGGUCCACCGCGGGCUGCUUCUCCACCACCAUGCACCUGCCCCGCGUAUGCUUCUUCUCUCCCAGGAGUGGGCCGCAGCCAUGGAGAGCGGCCAGAGGAGCAUGGACGGCCAUCCCCUGCCUCCUCUCCAGCACGUGGCAAACUCAAGUUACUGACUUACUACAUAGUUGAAGAGACCACAUUACAUGUCAAUGGUACUCGUGCAAGCGUGGCUCCCUCCUCCAGUUGCUCAUCGCCCUCAUCUUCCCCAUUAGAAAUCUACUACCUAGGAGUACAUGGAACAUUGGUUCUACGUUCUACCUCAGUUGCGCUUUUUUAUUAGAAAUCAAGAGGCCUGUUUAUUAUUUUCAUUGAUGGGGAAAGCUUUGCAGCUGUAGAACAUAGUAUGAUUUAGCACUUCCGAGCAGUCAAGGGAGUUAGGUAGCAUAAAUCACAUCUUUCAUGAAUUGACGUGCAUCACUUUGGAGCGGGGUGGCUAAUAAAUCAGGUAGUGAUGCUGCCUGAUAUUGUUCUGUACACUCCUGCAUCAUUAAGUUUUCCAGGCAACAACAGCAUAAUGCUGAUAACGAAAGGAUAGGUGUAGGUUCAGACAGCUUAGGGUAUAGAGAAGUUGCUUUCAGGGUUGUAGUUGGAACAUGGGACCAUUGUUUGAUAUUGUGUCGUUGUCGAGUGGAAAAUUUGAUAUUGGUCACAGCCAAACAGAAAAAGGCACCACAUGUCCUUGUAAUAGAUGAUCUAUGUAUUCAAUUGGCUGAUGCAAUAAGCUGCUUCCUGGUUGAUCUUAAAUUAGUCAAUCGAUGGUAGUGAACUGGCAGCGACGAAUUGGAUUGGUUUGAUAUAUGGAUCCAUGUGUACUUGCUGAUCUUUGACUAGCCAGUGCCAGUCCUUUCUGAUGUUUCCAGGUCCCAUGCGCUUUCGUUGAAAUUUGUAGGAGAUAAUUUGAUUUAUUAUAGAAGUACAACGGCUGCUGUUGGAUCCCAUGCCUGAAGGCUGAGUGAAUUUGAAUAUAUAUAUUUGUCUUCUAGGCUUUUAAUUGACUCUGAUGAAGUAGUAGUACAGUCCAGUCUGAAAUUUUUGGUAAAUAUGCUCUCUGAAAGUUGGAUCUUUACUACUGUCAAGUCUGAUUUGUCAAUGAAAACCAGUAACUACUGAAGUCAAAAUUCAGUAAGCUUUGUCAAUGUCAAAAUUGUCGAAACUAUUCUUACCAGGCCCACAAAACUUUAGCUGGGCUCUACCCAUUUACGGGAGAAGUGCAACAGGCAAGGAUACAAAGUGAGAUCGGAUUGACAUUGAAAACCAGUAACUACUGAAGUCAAAAUUCAGUAAGCUUUGUCAAUGUCAAAAUUGUCGAAACUAUUCUUACCAGGCCCACAAAACAUUAGCUGGGCUCUACCCAUUUACGGGAGAAGUGCAACAGGCAAGGAUACAAAGUGAGAGUGCUCAGUUUUCCCCUUUCCAUGGUGCCACGCCUCGAUCUGCUGCUCCCAGCCACAGCAACCUCUAAUCGAUCGAGGAACGAGUCCUGUGGACGUUGAUCAAUCUUCGACCGUGUUCGGGCACUUGCAGCAACCACAUUAUAAAAGGAUCGACGAGGAGCGAUCUGCUAUGCAUCAGUGGCGAUGAAGGUAAAAUUCGAAUAUAUCCUCCUACAGUACUUUUGUAUUACCUGUGAUGGACGUCACAGAUCACCUAUUUUAACUCUGGCAAGUACCCGAUGAUAUAUGAUGCCACCAACUCUUGUGAUGUACCGUGUAAACUACCGUGUGAUCACCUAUUCUGACUCUGAUGAUUAGAUAGACUCAAUGCAAGGUGGUUUUGCUUCUUUCUACAAAUUUCAUAUAUUUUUUCUCUUGCAUAUACCCUGCUAAGCAAAUAACUAAUUAUGGUUGCAUGAUAAAAUCAUGGAAAAGGAAGUUAAACAGGAUAAUUAUCGUUGUUGCGAAGUGGAUAAACAGAAAAGAUGUGUUGUGUAUAUGCCAUAUUUUCCUUCUCUGGAUUUCAAGGUUGUGCCAUAUAGAACAGCUAUAAACCUACAAUGUCUAGCUUCUCCCUUAUACAUGAGAGCUAAUUCUUGCUAUUUAUUUGCUACCCCGGUUGAUUGCGAGAGCGUGUGAUAUGAUGAUGGCAUGAGGAAUGGAGAGCUGUAAUUUCUAACGGUUGAAUUUCACAUUUGUACUCUUAAAACUUGUGGUUAGUAAAGCAAGCUACUUUGUUCUAUUUAUUUCAAACAUAUCUAUUAUUCACUAAGGCUCCUGCCUACUUUCAUACUGACGUUGUGUCUAAAACUGAGCCUCCUCUUAACUCUCUCUGUAGUAAAUGAAGCCCAGAGGUGGAGGGAUUUGGAUGUUGCAAAGUUUACCAGUAUUACUAUUUAAAUAUCAUGAACCUUAUUGUGCAUAAAAAAUGACAGAAAAUAGGACUACUUCAGAGUACACAUUUUAAAUUUACCUGUAUUAUCAUGUAAAUAUUUAUUUUAUUAAGAGUUUGAAUUUUUAGGAGAACACCUCAUGUUCAACCACUUUCAUUUCCCUUCAUUCUUAGUUUCUUACUAAUGGUCGCUCGAUGGUGCUAAUUGGCUUAUGUGGUUAUAGAUGGUGAGUAUUACAGUAUUAGGAAGGCUCGCAUCACCAUUAUUUUAAGGAAGUUUAAUCCAUGUAUGUUUUGGCCAUGUAAUUUGAAAUUCUUAGCUGCAUGGAAGUGGUACCUUUUAGUUCUUUGUGCUGCUUACAAAAAUAAUCAUCAUUGGGCUGUAAAUUUGACUGCACAACCUAAGCUGAUUUUCGGUAUUUUUCUUCUUGGUAAGCUUUCAGUUAUAUUGGCAAAAAAAUUGAUUGAAGGUUUCAAAUAUAUUACACCGGAACUAUUUCAAUAUUGCUAUUGAAAUUUUCCUUGUGGAAGUACUUGGAAGGAAGAUUCUUGCCUAGUUCAACUUUAAUAUUCUUGAAGGACACAUCAAAGAUAUCUGGAUGCUGCAAAUUUAUAUGAGUUACACAUGGUAGACAAGGUUAAUGUCCAGAUAUUGUGUAGUCUUUGCCCCUUCUCUAGAAGGGGUAUAUGCUCGAAAAUUGUAUUAUCUUUUGUCCAGACUCAAAUUUUAUAUGGCUGCUUGAUCUUUGGUUAGAAUUUAUUCCCGGUGAUCGUGUCUCACUAAGUUACCUCUGUUGAAAUUGAAAAAUGUAUGAAUGCAAAAAUGGUUUAUCAAAUCCAUGCUGAUUGCAAGACAUGCUUGUAUUUAAAAAGCAAUCAUCUUUUCACAUAUACAAAACUUUGUAAGCUUUGAGUUGCUGGUUUUGGAACCGCUUCUGUUUUUGUUUUACUGUACUCCUCUCGAUACAGAUGCUACUUCGAACUCUCAAGUUUCUAUUUUUGUUGCAUAGUUCACCGUUUGCAGACCAGUUGUUUGGCUGUCCUUUUAAUCAAAACUUCUGUUAUGUUUGGAGGCGAGUCUGCAUUGGUCUCAUCCUGAUGGAAUUCAUUACAUGGUGGGAAUGUUAAGAGCGGGGACCUUAUAUUUAGAAACAGCAAGGUGAUCCAUUUGUUGGUUUGUGCACACCUUCCUGUUAGGUUGUUUUCAGAAAUUAUUGGCAGUGAUGAUCUGAAAAAUCCCGGAUGUUUUAAAUUGUCUAAACUCUUCAGCCUAUGUGUGCCUGCUGUCUUUGCUUGUUUGCUCCUUUAGCUUGAAGAAGCGCUGCACUUGACUGGCGAGCUCGCUGAGAAAGAAAAGUUGUCACAGCGUGAUGAAAAGAUCGAUGCAUGCAAAAAGGUCUAAACCAUAUCUAUUCCUGGGCAAGAAGGGCACGAAGUAACACUUUGUCCUAGGAUAGUAUCUUUUGGUGAUUUAGGCGCCUUUUGGAAAAUAUAGAUAUCUGUUACAUGUGUUGGAGGUUUGCAGCUUAUACAUGCAUGCCCUGAAUCUGGUUCCUCGAGGUGAAAUGGUUGGUCGAAAGCAUGUGUACAACUUCCUUCAAAGAGCUUCUGCACCUCGUGUUUCAGUUUUGGUCACGUUUAUAUCCCUGUGUAGAAGGUCGCAGAGCCUUGGUACCCCUUGUAUGUUCUGUUGAAAGAAGUUGUCAUAUAUAACGAUUGAUUAACAGGACGAAGAUUCUCCGCCGCUGUUUGGAGGACGUCAGACCUGGGAGCAGAGGGAGGAAAGCUUUAAAUUGAACGCUACCAUGAAGGGCUGCAGUAACAACUAAGCAUCCGAUAUAUAAUAACAUCAUGAAAGGGGCACGAAGCGGCGAUCCAAUAUACACCGGCGAUGAAGGAAGUGGGGAUGGACAUUCAUGGAUCUGUCGUCCCUGAUUUGCUUUGGGGAGGUCCGGCACCCUCGCGCCAAGGCGCACUGCCGAUCUAGUUGUGAUGAGGGCGGAGAACGGUGGGCUUGGAUUGGCCUCCUUUGGUCGUGACGUGCUCCACCUGUGGUCAGCUGAGACGGGUCCUGACGGAGAUGUCAAGUGGGCGCAGAUGAACCACAUCCAUCUCGGGAAGCUGAUGCCUUUCAAGAGCCCAGCACGUUUGAUUGGAUUUGCCGAAGACAUCAAUGCCGUUUUUGUGAGCUCAGAUGACCAUGGCAUCUUCACUGUUGAGCUCAAGUCAUUGCUGACGAAGAAGGUGUGCGAGAUGGGCAAGGUCAAGGAUUUUUUUUCCUUACGUCUGCUACUACACUCCAGCUGCUUGUGCUAUUGCUAGGGGCACGCUGCCAGCACCUGUGGCCCCUUAGUGAUCUCUACAAGCCAUUUGAAGAUAUGACGUGGUAAGUCAGCAAAUGUGAUGGACGGAUCCAUCAUUUUGCAGUCCUGAUGCUUCUUCAGAGUUCCAGUUAUUGCUUUUCUCACGAGGAAGUUUUUCCUUGGUAUCUUGAUCAAUUAGUAUUCUGUUCAUCGAGCCCUCUUGAAGUAGACUUGAAAAACAAAGUUUCAAUUUACCACGAACAAUAUAAAUAUGUAUCAGCUCACUAUCUUGGUGCAUAAGCUAUUUUUCAGUCG